AUGUUUAACGAUAUCAUCCGACACCAAAACCUCAUUGAGUUACCUGUUAAAGGACGCACCUACACCUGGAGCAACAUGCAGCACGACCCGCUUUUAGAACAAUUGGAUUGGUUCUUUACGUCGAUCCACUGGACAAAUGCAUACCCCAAAACUCUAGUCAAGCCG
RNAcentral lists this ribosomal RNA (165 nucleotides) under Triticum aestivum (bread wheat). Its description in RNAcentral is "partial small subunit ribosomal RNA". Lineage: Eukaryota; Viridiplantae; Streptophyta; Magnoliopsida; Poales; Poaceae. The record is from RNAcentral.